GACGAACGCUGGCGGCGUGCUUAACACAUGCAAGUCGAACGGGUCUGCCCUGUUUUUUGCGGGGUGGGUCAGUGGCGAACGGGUGAGUAACACGUGAGUAACCUGCCCCUCACUUCUGGAUAACCGCUUGAAAGGGUGGCUAAUACGGGGUGUUCUGGCUGUGCCGCAUGGUGUGGCUGGGAAAGAUUCACUUUUGUGGUGUUUUGGUGGGGGAUGGGCUCGCGGCCUAUCAGCUUGUUGGUGGGGUGAUGGCCUGCCAAGGCUUUGACGGGUAGCCGGCCUGAGAGGGUGGGCGGUCACACUGGGACUGAGAGACGGCCCAGACUCCUGCGGGAGGCAGCAGUGGGGGGUAUUGCACAAUGGGCGGAAGCCUGAUGCAGCGGCGUCGCGUGAGGGAUGGAGGCCUUCGGGUUGUGAACCUCUUUCGCCGGUGAAGAAGGUCCUGCUCUUUGUGGUGGGGUUGACGGUAGCCGGGUUAUGAAGCGCCGGCUAACUACGUG
Molecule: ribosomal RNA, 500 nt
Filed under: uncultured bacterium
Lineage: Bacteria
Description: partial 16S ribosomal RNA
Rfam family: Bacterial small subunit ribosomal RNA
Source: RNAcentral